This 253-nucleotide ribosomal RNA is filed under the name uncultured bacterium. Its description in RNAcentral is "partial 16S ribosomal RNA". It matches the Rfam family "Bacterial small subunit ribosomal RNA", at positions 524 to 776 of the family's 1533-position model. The record is from RNAcentral.
UACGGAGGGGGCUAGCGUUGUUCGGAUUUACUGGGCGUAAAGCGCGCGUAGGCGGCUUGGAUAGUUGGGAGUGAAAGCCCGGGGCUCAACCCCGGAACUGCUCUCAAAACUUCCAAGCUAGAGAUCUGGAGAGGAGGGUGGAAUUCCAAGUGUAGAGGUGAAAUUCGUAGAUAUUUGGAAGAACACCAGUGGCGAAGGCGACUCUCUGGCCAGAUACUGACGCUGAGGUGCGAAAGCGUGGGGAGCAAACAGG